UGGAGCCACCAUUGAGAUCGAGGCUUCUACCCUUACUUUACCGACCGAUGUUGCCACUGAGACACCGACUCUGAUCAUUGAACUACAGGAGUCCCCUGAGGCCACCACUCGAGGUUAAGACCCCAACUGACAAUCGAUCCCAGGAGGAGGAGGUUUACACUCCCCAACGACCAUCGGUCUCAAGUUUGCAAAGAGUGACUCAGAGUGAGAGUCGAACAUUAAGGCCCGAGGACAAGACCUCGAAGAAAAGCAAGUCCGUGCCUAAGCCUGGGACUUCCAAGAUAUUAGCGACCGAGUUCUGAGUCUCGAAGAAGUUGACAUCCGAGACCGGGACCUCAAGGAAACAAAAGUCCAUCCAUCCUCUACAUGGAGGCAUCCUAGCAUCACAACCUCUAAGGAGUUGUUCUCUAGAUACAAGUGUUAGGGGAAAGGCUGUGGCACCCAGGGCUCAAUGAUUCUGGUUGCUAGCGAUUAAACCACUGCCCCCAUGCUUGAGCAGGCGCAAUCAACUUCUAGUAGCAUGUCUAGACGUUGUGCUUCUCCACUUUAUGCACAACUGCGGUAGAGUUUCGACCCUUCCUUGCUACGUCAAGGUCCUCAUGUUGAGGAGCGAUCAAAGGGAUCAAACCCUUCCUUGGCUAAGCGACUCCACACUUACGAGAUGGAAGUCAUGCCGGGGCUAGGGUUCUUUGAUAUAUCCGAGAAUAUGAUCAGUGUUGCCUUGAAGAGGCGAAGAGCUUGCACGGACGCCUUCUUCAUUUGGUGAAGCAUCACCAUAUCAUAGGAAGCGAAUAGCGAAGCUGGAGAGCCAAUAGACGCAAACAACCCCUUCCAAGAGCGAGGUUGCAGAGGCUCUAUCUUUUGCUAAUAUAGCCAAGGUAGAGAAGGUAAUGGCUCAAAUGGUGAGGUACAAAGCAGAAGCAGAAAUUAGGAAGUGAUAGAAGAGGGCCAAGACCUAUUUUGACGACUUCAUGAACUAGAACAUGAGUUGACCUAGGUCAAGCUGCCACACAAGCCUUAGAGAAGCUGACCAAGAAAAUGCAGACCACGGAGUAGUCGACCAAACAUGCUUAGGAAGAACUGCUUUAUGCCCAACGGGAAUUAGUCAUGCAAGAGGGGAAAUGGAUGCAUCAAAGACUUAGUUACGUUGUUGUAGGUCCAAUUGUACCUUCGUGAUGAGAUCUUAGCCAAGGAUAGGUUGGGGUAUCAAUUAUCUGAGGCCAAGGAGAAAAAGGCGAAGACGGCCUAUGAGCUGAAGGUUGCCUAGAUUGAAUUGGAGGUCGUUAAGAUUGAACUGGAGGCCGCCAAAAUAGAGUUGGCUGACUAUUGGGCAAGAGAAGAGAGUCGCUAGGAGAAUCAGAAGAAAGCCUUUCUAGUCUCCUAGGAUUUUAUGGACUGCUCGCACAAAGAAGUAACAAUAUGCUUAAGCACAACUUUGAGGGCACCAUUCCCCAGUUCAUCAGGUCCAAACUGAUCACAAGGGAGAGCGAUAUGUCCUUCUUGGAUCUGAAUAAAGUUUGGGAGGAGCUACCCGACACUAAGAAGGCCAACUGAUCAUACUUCUUGCCUCUACUGUCUAUUUAUUUCUGCACUUAUUCUUGGGAUAUUUUUUAUUCUGCCUAGGAUUUGAAAAGAUGUAAAGACUUGCAGGAGUUAAUGAAAACCACUUUUUGCAAAUCUAUCAUCUUGAAUGCCUGCUUUUGAUC
Long non-coding RNA from Zingiber officinale, 1706 nucleotides. RefSeq lists it as uncharacterized. The record is from RefSeq and is a predicted model, not a curated record. The transcript is spliced from 2 exons. Lineage: Eukaryota; Viridiplantae; Streptophyta; Magnoliopsida; Zingiberales; Zingiberaceae.